AAAACGGCCCUUUUCAGGGCCACCACACUAAAUUGAUGUUAAAAU
Molecule: non-coding RNA, 45 nt
Organism: Macrostomum lignano
Lineage: Eukaryota; Metazoa; Platyhelminthes; Macrostomidae
Source: Rfam